This 1035-nucleotide small RNA is filed under the name Drosophila pseudoobscura pseudoobscura. RNAcentral's name for it is "GA32470". The record is from RNAcentral. Lineage: Eukaryota; Metazoa; Arthropoda; Insecta; Diptera; Drosophilidae.
GAUCAGUUUUGCGCGAAUUACGGUUACGAAAGGUUGCUGACGACAAAGGGCCGGCGUCCAAAACAAACAUUUUCCCAGUGCCAGUGCUCUCUACCAGAGCCCGUUCUCUUCACUGUGUGUCCAAGUGAUUUUUUUUGUCGUGACAUUGAAGCGAUUUUUUUUUUCUGACUUGCCCUGAAGAAUAUUCUGAAAACACACCCACAUAUCGCCUUGGGAACUGACCUACGACAAGGCACUUUAAGAACGUAACUGACCUAAGUCACAAGGAAAAAGAAGCGAGCCCGACAACACUCGAAAUACCAGAAACUUUUGCACAUUUACGAGCCCGUUUACGAGUAGAGUGAAUAGUUUUUAGAGAGAUUAAUAUAGGAAUAGAAGUAGGACUAGGACUAGGCAUAGGCAUAGGAGUAGAGACUCUUACUUUGAAUUAUCAUAUCAGUUGCAAUCGCACAGAGAUCGAACAUCGAGAGAAGCCAGAAGCCAGAAGCAAAGGCAAAGGCAAAGUAAAUCCCAAUCGAUUCGAUCAUUUCUGAACAUCGCUCGCUUAAACGUUGAAUGGUUGUGAACUGUAGUAAGCAAAUAGUGAAUUAGCAGCAUAUAAUCUUCGUAUACCUAUCUAUCCCAUAGAGCAUAGAGCAUAGAGAGUAGAGCAUAGAGAGUAGAGCAUAGAGCAUAGUAAGCUAAGACCUAGCCCAGUCCAUAGAUCAGAUCCCUUGAGGAACUGUCUUGCCCAGGAAAGAUAUAGUAGUACUGUAGUUUUCAAUUGUCGGUGUUCAACGAAAAUAGUGCCCACACGAACUGUAACUUUGUGUGAGUUUAUUUUACUGUUUGAAAAAUGUGAAAGAAAUACGAUCGAACAUCGAAACAUCGCAGAGCUCUGUUGAGUCCAUAAAUGGUCUCCCUGCCGGUGGUCGUUGCGCUGCUUCACUGAAGCGCUGGGCUCUCAUCCCCCACAUCCUACAUAUAUGCGUCACUAAUUUGCAAUGAUGAGUUAUCAGAAGGGCCUCAAGGAUCCAAACGUGGACAGGCAUACCA